This 227-nucleotide ribosomal RNA is filed under the name uncultured bacterium. RNAcentral describes it as "partial 16S ribosomal RNA". It matches the Rfam family "Bacterial small subunit ribosomal RNA", at positions 123 to 334 of the family's 1533-position model. The record is from RNAcentral.
AAUCUUCCCUCAGGAGGGGGAUAACCAUCCGAAGGGAUGACUAAUACCGCGUAAGACCACGGUCGCUUCGGCGACAGCGGUCAAAGGUGGCCUCUACACGUAAGCCACCACCUGAGGACGAGCCUGCGGCCCAUCAGCUAGUUGGUAGGGUAACGGCCUACCAAGGCUAAGACGGGUAGCUGGUCUGAGAGGAUGAUCAGCCACACUGGCACUGAAACACGGGCCAG